RNAcentral lists this ribosomal RNA (484 nucleotides) under uncultured bacterium. Its description in RNAcentral is "partial 16S ribosomal RNA". It matches the Rfam family "Bacterial small subunit ribosomal RNA", at positions 29 to 507 of the family's 1533-position model. The record is from RNAcentral.
AUUGAACGCUGGCGGCAUGCUUUACACAUGCAAGUCGAACGGCAGCGCGGGCUUCGGCCUGGCGGCGAGUGGCGAACGGGUGAGUAAUACAUCGGAACGUGCCCAGUAGUGGGGGAUAGCUCGGCGAAAGCCGGAUUAAUACCGCAUACGACCUGAGGGUGAAAGCGGGGGAUCUUCGGACCUCGCGCUAUUGGAGCGGCCGAUGGCAGAUUAGCUAGUUGGUGGGGUAAAGGCCUACCAAGGCGACGAUCUGUAGCUGGUCUGAGAGGACGAACAGCCACACUGGGACUGAGACACGGCCCAGACUCCUACGGGAGGCAGCAGUGGGGAAUUUUGGACAAUGGGCGAAAGCCUGAUCCAGCAAUGCCGCGUGUGUGAUGAAGGCCUUCGGGUUGUAAAGCACUUUUGGCGGGAACGAAAAGGACUGUGCCAAUACCACGGUUCGAUGACGGUACCCGCAGAAUAAGCACCGGCUAACUACGUG